RNAcentral lists this ribosomal RNA (420 nucleotides) under uncultured bacterium. RNAcentral describes it as "bacterial SSU rRNA". It matches the Rfam family "Bacterial small subunit ribosomal RNA", at positions 356 to 773 of the family's 1533-position model. The record is from RNAcentral.
GAGGAAUAUUGGUCAAUGGGCGCAAGCCUGAACCAGCCAUCCCGCGUGAAGGAAGAAGGCGCUAUGCGUUGUAAACUUCUUUUCCAGGGGAAUAAAAUUUUGUACGUGUACGGAAUUGAAGGUACCCUGGGAAUAAGCAUCGGCUAACUCCGUGCCAGCAGCCGCGGUAAUACGGAGGAUGCGAGCGUUAUCCGGAUUUAUUGGGUUUAAAGGGUGCGUAGGCGGACUAAUAAGUCAGUGGUGAAAACCUGCAGCUUAACUGUAGAACUGCCAUUGAUACUGUUGGUCUUGAGUGUGGUCAAGGUAGGCGGAAUGUGUAAUGUAGCGGUGAAAUGCUUAGAUAUUACACAGAACACCGAUUGCGAAGGCAGCUUGCUGGGCCAUUACUGACGCUGAUGCACGAAAGCGUGGGGAUCGAAC